This 253-nucleotide ribosomal RNA is filed under the name uncultured bacterium. RNAcentral describes it as "partial 16S ribosomal RNA". It matches the Rfam family "Bacterial small subunit ribosomal RNA", at positions 524 to 776 of the family's 1533-position model. The record is from RNAcentral.
UACAGAGGUCUCAAGCGUUGUUCGGAUUCAUUGGGCGUAAAGGGUGCGUAGGUGGCGCCGUACGUCAGGUGUGAAAUCUCGGGGCUCAACCCCGAAACUGCACUUGAUACUGCGGUGCUCGAGUACUGGAGUGGAGAUUGGAAUUUACGGUGUAGCAGUGAAAUGCGUAGAUAUCGUAAGGAAGACCAGUGGCGAAGGCGGGUCCCUGGACAGCACCUGACACUGAGGCACGAAAGCUAGGGGAGCAAACAGG